UACGUAGGGUGCGAGCGUUGUCCGGAAUUAUUGGGCGUAAAGGGCUCGUAGGCGGUUUGUCGCGUCGGGAGUGAAAACCAGGUGCUUAACACCUGGCUUGCUUUCGAUACGGGCAGACUAGAGUGUGGUAGGGGAGACUGGAAUUCCUGGUGUAGCGGUGAAAGUGCGCAGAUAUCAGGAGGAACACCGAUGGCGAAGGCGGCCAACUGGACCAUUACUGACGCUGAGGCGCGAAAGCGUGGGGAGCAAACAGG
Molecule: ribosomal RNA, 254 nt
Filed under: uncultured bacterium
Lineage: Bacteria
Description: partial 16S ribosomal RNA
Rfam family: Bacterial small subunit ribosomal RNA
Source: RNAcentral